RNAcentral lists this long non-coding RNA (3656 nucleotides) under Zea mays. RNAcentral describes it as "long non-coding RNA (ZMAY_LNC003666)". The record is from RNAcentral. Lineage: Eukaryota; Viridiplantae; Streptophyta; Magnoliopsida; Poales; Poaceae.
GGGGCGAUGCCGAGGAUAGAUCGGGCUGAUAACUAGAAAUGUUGUGAGAAUGAAUACUGUUGUUGUUACUUUCAGUGGCAGUACGUAUUUAUACUUGCCGAGGAUAGAUCCACUAACAUCCCUUAAUCUUGUUUAAUGUCCUCCAUUGAUCUUGUGUUUGUGCUUCCCUCAGCGGCCUGUAGGACAUCGCCAAAGCCGUCAACAAUCAGCGAGAGCGUGAAGAACUUCGACAUCAUGCUCGGCCUAGAGGAGAAGCCCGCCAAAGAAGAAGGUGCGUACGACAUGGACACACUAAUGCUACGACCCCCGUCUUGCCAUUCGCUUAAUUUAGUGCGUUGGGGUGCAUUGGUGCAUGGCUGUAUGUGUAUUAACAUUAAACUGUUGAUAUGACACUAAUAGGAUAGUCAAAUGGUGUUAGUGAUUAUGUUCAAUUGAUAUUUGACAGAUCUGUGUUUGUAGACAAUUACAUGUGCUCAUUGCUUAAUAUCACUGGAUUUUGACAAAAAAUUGUGCCUAUCACCCGUUCAAUUUCCAUGUGUAGUCAAAUUCAGUCUAUUGUAUUUUGUGCUAUUGAAUGGUUUUCGCAUAUUUUCAAAUGUAUGCCCUCUUGUAAGUGUUGGAAUUAUAACACAUUUUGCACUUGUAGGACCUAUCGUUUGAUUUGUUAGCACCUUAUAGAUAUAGAUACUAUGAGAUUUCCUAGUUAUUGAUAUGUUAGAACUUGUUUGAACAAAUAUCCCAUUUUAAAAAGGUCUAUCUAUGUGAUAUAUAGUAAUCGUAGCAAAAUACGGACAUCUAACUAGUAGUAUAAUAGAUGACGAUGACACCGUUUCGAAAUUGGAUGCGUCCUUAGCAGGUUUAUCGGGAUAUGCUUGUGAGUUGUGAAUAUAUCCUUAGAGAAACUCUAAUUAUUCUCUAUAUAACUCUCUAAAUCUUAAAUUUAAGAAGUGAACAGAAAAAAUGUUUCUCCAAUAGUUUUCUAAAUAGAUUUACUCAAUUUAGUUACUUACUAUCCAACCCCAUUUAGUCUCCAAGCUUGGCGGAACUACCUAAAUGCAGUUGGCGUCAAUUUCUUCUCACUCGGGUGCUCAUUUUUCUUCUCUUUCCCGCGCAACAAGGUAGCCACGUUCUACACACUCUUUGUAACACCCACUUUGUAGAAAAAAAAUCUAGAAAGAGAAAUCAUAUUACUGUAUAGAUAUUGUGUUAUCUCUAUUCAUUAUUUCAUGAGGACAUCGCACUUACAAAAAAAAUAAUAACAAAUAACAAAGGACACCAAAAAUAAUACAUGCAUCAUGCUGGACUUCACUUUGUGCGCAUUUUUUUGUGAUAAUAUAAAGAAAAAAAGUGUAUUGAUAUCCAAAUUUCGGAAUUUAACCCUAAUUUGCAAGAUUAGAAUAAGAGGAAAGAGAAUGCCUUAUAAAAGAAAACUACAUAAAAAUAAAAUUUAGCUUUCCAAAUUGAUGACCUUGAAUUAUACGUUAUACUUGGGUACAAAUUCACAACAAUAAUUGAGUUCAAAUUGGGGUUCAAAACAAAAAAAAAGAAAAGAAAACAGAAAUAAAAAAAAGAAAAAGGAAUGAAACCCCUAACUGGGCCUCAGAUUCACAUUUGGCCCACCCCGAAAACCCCUCCGCGCGGCCCAACUUGAAUUUCCCCUCCCGCGCACGACUCAUUGUCGGGUGGGCCGUGUUGUGUGUCGCUGAGGCGCACGCACUCGCGACCGUGUUUCGCCGCCUGGUGGGACCCCCAUGUUGGCUCACACUGAAGGAGUUACUAUUGAUGUGGAACCUACUUUGGAGCAAGAGAUCCGCAAGGGACAAAUUGGUGAUGCUAAAAUAAAAGAGAUCAAGGAUCUGAUUUCUGAAGGUCGAGUUCCGGAAUUUACGGAAGAUGAGCAAGGCACUAUAUGGUUCAAGGACAGGAUGUGUGUUCCUGAUAUUAAAAGCCUUCGAGAGACUAUUUUAAAGGAGGCCCAUGAUUCGAAUUAUUCUAUUCAUCCUGGUAGUACUAAGAUGUAUCAGGAUUUGAAGCGGAAGUAUUGGUGGUAUGGAUUGAAGAGAGAUGUAGCUGCACAUGUGGCUAUGUGCGAUGUAUGUCAAAGAGUUAAGGCUGAACACGAGAGACCAGCUGGACUACUGCACCCACCGAAGGUACCUAAGUGGAAGUGGGAAGAGAUCGGUAUGGAUUUCAUUACUGGAUUGCCUCGCACCCAGAAAGGAUAUGAUUAUAUGGGUGAUUGUAGAGAGAUUGACUAAAGUUUGUUUCAUUCCAGUCAAGACUACUUACAAGGAUCUCGAUUGGUAGAGUUAUAUAUGGCUCGGAUUGUGUCUCUACACGGUGUACCGAAGAAGAUCGUUUCGGAUAGAGGAUCACAGUUACCUUAAGAUUUUGGAAAAGUUUUCAUGAGAAUAUGAAUACGAAGUUGAAUUUUAGUUCGGCCUACCAUUCUCAGACUGAUGGACAGACUAAAAGGACUAAUCAAGUAUUGGAAGACAUGUUGAGAGCUUGUACCCUUCAGCAUGGUAGUAGUUGGGACAAGAGUCUACCUUAUGCUGAGUUCUCAUAUACUAGUUAACAUGCCAGUCUGAAGAUGUCACUGUUUGAGACUCUAUAUGGCAGGAAAUGAAGGAUUCCUCUACAUUGGAUCAGACUAGAGGAAGACAGUUCUUUGGACCUGAACUUAUUCAAGAGGGAGAAGAACAAGUUGUAUAAUUCGAGAGAAUUUGAGGGUAGCUCAAACCUGGAAAAAGAGUUAUGCUGAUAAUAGAUGAAGACCAGUGGGAUUUGAAGAAGGAGAUUAUGUUUACCUCAAGGUGUCACCACUUCGUGGAAUGAGGAGAUUCAAAGUUAAGGGCAAAUUGUCACCACGCUAUAUUGGACCAUUCUUGAUCUUUAGGCGAGUUGGGGAGAUGGCAUACCAACUCGAGUUACAUGCAAGUCUAUCGGAUGUGCACAAUGUAUUUCAUGUGUCUCAACUUAAGAAGUGUCUCCGUGUCCCUGAGGAACAGUUACCAAUGGAAGAGCUCAGUGUUCAGGGUGAUUUGACUUACACGGAGUAUCCAAUCAAGAUUCUUGACACAUUGACUCGAGUUACAAGAAAUAAGGUGAUAAAGAUGUGCAAAGUGCAAUGGAGUCAUCAUGGCGAAGAUGAAGCAACUUGGGAAAGAGAAGAAGAGCUUCGCAUAGAUUUCCCCCAUCUUUUCCCUAGAUCUUCCUAAAUCUCGAGGACGAGAUUAUUUUUAAGGGGGGUAGGAUUUGUAACACCCACUUUGUAGAAAAAAAAUCUAGAAAGAGAAAUCAUAUUACUGUAUAGAUAUUGUGUUAUCUCUAUUCAUUAUUUCAUGAGGACAUCGCACUUACAAAAAAAAUAAUAACAAAUAACAAAGGACACCAAAAAUAAUACAUGCAUCAUGCUGGACUUCACUUUGUGCGCAUUUUUUGUGAUAAUAUAAAGAAAAAAAAAGUGUAUUGAUAUCCAAAUUUCGGAAUUUAACCCUAAUUUGCAAGAUUAGAAUAAGAGGAAAGAGAAUGCCUUAUAAAAGAAAACUACAUAAAAAUAAAAUUUAGCUUUCCAAAUUGAUGACCUUGAAUUAUACGUUAUACUUGGGUACAAAUUCACAACAAUAAUUGAGUUCAAAUUGGGGUUCAAAACA